GAUGAACGCUAGCUACAGGCUUAACACAUGCAAGUCGAGGGGUAACGAGAGGAAAGCUUGCUUUCCUUGUCGACGACCGGCGCACGGGUGAGUAACGCGUAUCCAACCUGCCCCCAACUAGGGAAUAACCUUGCGAAAGUAAGACUAAUACCCUAUAAUUUCCUCAGAUGACAUCUGACGAGGAAUAAAGAUUUAUCGGUUGUGGAUGGGGAUGCGUCUGAUGAGCUUGUUGGCGGGGUAACGGCCCACAAAGGCAACGAUCAGUAUGGGUUCUGAGAGGAAGGUCCACCACAUGGGAACUGAGACACGGUCCAAACUCCUACGGGAGGCAGCAGUGAGGAAUAUUGGGCAAUGGGCGGAAGCCUGAACCAGCCAAGUAGCGUGCAGGAGGACGGCCCUAUGGGUUGUAAACUGCUUUUAUACAGGAAUAAAGUUAGCCACGUGUGGUUAUUUGUAGGUACUGUAUGAAUAAGGACCGGCUAAUUCCGUGCCAGCCGCCGCCGUAA
This 506-nucleotide ribosomal RNA is filed under the name uncultured bacterium. RNAcentral's name for it is "partial 16S ribosomal RNA". It matches the Rfam family "Bacterial small subunit ribosomal RNA", at positions 28 to 523 of the family's 1533-position model. The record is from RNAcentral.